CCUACGGGAGGCAGCAGUGGGGAAUAUUGCACAAUGGGGGAAACCCUGAUGCAGCGACGCCGCGUGAGUGAAGAAGUAUUUCGGUAUGUAAAGCUCUAUCAGCAGGGAAGAAAAUGACGGUACCUGUUUAAGAAGCACCGGCUAACUACGUGCCAGCAGCCCCGGUAAUACGUAGGGGGCAAGCGUUAUCCGGAUUUACUGGGUGUAAAGGGAGCGUAGACGGCAGCACAAGUCUGGAGUGAAAUGCCGGGGCUUAACCCCGGAACUGCGUUGGAAACUGGGCAGCUAGAGUGCAGGAGAGGUAAGUGGAAUUCCUAGUGUAGCGGUGAAAUGCGUAGAUAUUAGGAGGAACACCAGUGGCGAAGGCGGCUUACUGGAGUGUAACUGACGUUGAGGCUCGAAAGCGUGGGGAGCAAACAGGAUUAGAUACCCUUGUAGUC
RNAcentral lists this ribosomal RNA (440 nucleotides) under uncultured bacterium. RNAcentral's name for it is "partial 16S ribosomal RNA". It matches the Rfam family "Bacterial small subunit ribosomal RNA", at positions 338 to 795 of the family's 1533-position model. The record is from RNAcentral.